Pan troglodytes (chimpanzee) is the source of this 1337-nucleotide long non-coding RNA. RefSeq lists it as uncharacterized. NCBI's taxonomy places the organism in Eukaryota, Metazoa, Chordata, Mammalia, Primates, Hominidae. The record is from RefSeq and is a predicted model, not a curated record. The transcript is spliced from 5 exons.
AGUUGAGAACCGUUACUUGACUGGUACCUCCAGCCCACCAGCAGGCAAUGAUGGCAUCAGACUAGAGGAUCACCAGUAAAUCAUUGUAAACAAGCAUGGAAAGAGAGAAAGUCCACUUUAAGUGAUGGAAAAUCAGCCCCAAUUCUGAAGGAACAACCAUGAACAGAUGAUUUAAGGAGAAUCAAUUCUUUGCACUUUGCAGGAGGAGCCAACAGAGUGAGAUGAAGGGGACAACUUCAGAUACUCAGGCAGAAGCAUAAGUCCCCACCUGCUGACCUGCUGCCUGCUAUCUUAACACGAAUUCUUCAUCUGAAUCGAUGAGCUUUUCACAGAGUUCCAAACUAAGGAAUCCAGGAGUGGCCAAUCCAGAGAUUCAUUCCUUAUCUUUGACGAACAUCUGAACUCCUGGCUCAUCCUGUGGAAUUCAGGCCAUACAGGAGAUCAAGGGCAUUGUCUACCUAAAAGCAUCAACCUAAAUCCUAAAGAUGAGAGGAAAAUCAAGUAAGAAGAGAUAGAAACUGUCUUUGCCUGUCUAUUUGGAGUCCUUCCGUUAUCGGUUCUGGUGCUCUGACCUCUCAUUUAUUACAUUUUUUCCAAUAAGAAAGCACAGAGAUGAAGAAAUAAAAGUGCUCUCAAUGGAAAUAUUUUACAAGAAGAAAACCUUAGCUUGGUUCUCUUUGCCAUACAUUGAAUAGCCACUAUCUUCCUGUCACUCAUCUUGGCAUUUUAUGCUUUUGAGAAAGAAACACGCAGAAGAAAAAUGUCAGAAGCAGCAAUUAUGCAAUUGAGCUGAUCCACAUUUCAAAGGGCCUGGACAGGGCAAAUGCCAUGACUCUUCAUUGCUCCAGAACCAAAAACUAAUUGAGUCAGCUUCACCUCUUUGCUUUGAACAUGCCUUGGCUGAAGGUUAAUCACAUUAAUUUCUGUGAGUCAAUGUUUUGCCCUGUCCUGGAAAAAAAAAAAAAAAAAACUAUCAGCCAUUUCAAUAGUUAGAUCCCCAUGUGAUGAUUUUCAAAAUUUCCUGAACCACCAGAAUCCUGGCAACUUUGUAGGUAUGUUUUGGGUUCUUUUUUCUAUGCAACAAAUAUCGGGCUGUUGAGAGUCUAGAAACUAUUGCCUUUGCAAAUCAGGGUUUCUUAAUUGAAUUAUAGGGAGGACAAGAGAAAAUGGGUAUUCGAAUUGUGAAUUAGAAUUGUGAAUGAAUGCUUUUGCCAACCAGCAGUCACUGAAGUCCAAAAUAAAAUGAGACCCUAAGCCUUUCUCCCAUUUUCCUCUCAAACUAACUUUUUACCUAAAAAAAAAUCUGGGCUCACAUGUGGUCAGCUCAUCACUAGACC